GUGGGGGAUAUUGCACAAUGGGCGAAAGCCUGAUGCAGCAACGCCGCGUGAGGGAAGACGGUUUUCGGAUUGUAAACCUCUGUUCUAAGUGACGAACAAAUGACGGUAGCUUAGGAGAAAGCCCCGGCUAACUACGUGCCAGCAGCCGCGGUAAUACGUAGGGGGCAAGCGUUGUCCGGAAUUACUGGGUGUAAAGGGAGCGCAGGCGGAGAAGCAAGUCAGUGGUGAAAACGAUGGGCUUAACUCAUCGACUGCCAUUGAAACUGUUUCCCUUGAGUGAAGUAGAGGCAGGCGGAAUUCCGAGUGUAGCGGUGAAAUGCGUAGAUAUUCGGAGGAACACCAGUGGCGAAGGCGGCCUGCUGGGCUUUAACUGACGCUGAGGCUCGAAAGUGUGGGGAGCAAACAGGAUUAGAAACCCGUGUAGUCC
RNAcentral lists this ribosomal RNA (427 nucleotides) under uncultured bacterium. RNAcentral describes it as "bacterial SSU rRNA". It matches the Rfam family "Bacterial small subunit ribosomal RNA", at positions 354 to 796 of the family's 1533-position model. The record is from RNAcentral.